AAUUUUGCAGCUUCACAUUCUGCUUCAGCUUCGUGUUCAGUAAACUGUGAUUAUUCACGUCCCUGCAGUGAUGUGUAUUCAUGCCUAUCAGGAUCUUGUUCAACUCUCACUGAGAAGGAUUUGCCUGCUAAAUGUAAAUGCUAUGUGAAAUGCCGUGAAGAAUUUAAUAAUCUUCGCAUAAGAAAAGACAACUGCAUGUAAAUAUUAUUUCUUUACUUCUUUUCAAAUAAUGGUAAUGGUAAAAAGCACUUCAGAGAAUGGGGUGCAAAGUGGAA
This is a long non-coding RNA of Octopus bimaculoides (California two-spot octopus), 275 nucleotides long. The record is from RefSeq and is a predicted model, not a curated record. Lineage: Eukaryota; Metazoa; Mollusca; Cephalopoda; Octopoda; Octopodidae.